CCUGGCUUUCGUAUCCGUUUUAUAUGAAAUUUUUUUAUAAUUAGUAUUUUCAUUGUUAUUAGAUGAUAAAAUAUGAUCAAUACUUUAUGCGUAACUCGUCUUUUUAAUUUUUUCCUAAUUUUUUUAAAUAAGACGGACGGUCAAACGUUGGACACGGAAAUUCAGGG
RNAcentral lists this microRNA precursor (167 nucleotides) under Oryza sativa Indica Group (long-grained rice). RNAcentral describes it as "MIR812 microRNA precursor family". It matches the Rfam family "MIR812 microRNA precursor family", at positions 27 to 194 of the family's 205-position model. The record is from Rfam by way of RNAcentral. Lineage: Eukaryota; Viridiplantae; Streptophyta; Magnoliopsida; Poales; Poaceae.